This 2904-nucleotide ribosomal RNA is filed under the name Escherichia coli. RNAcentral's name for it is "23S ribosomal RNA". It matches the Rfam family "Bacterial large subunit ribosomal RNA". Lineage: Bacteria; Pseudomonadati; Pseudomonadota; Gammaproteobacteria; Enterobacterales; Enterobacteriaceae. The record is from RNAcentral.
GGUUAAGCGACUAAGCGUACACGGUGGAUGCCCUGGCAGUCAGAGGCGAUGAAGGACGUGCUAAUCUGCGAUAAGCGUCGGUAAGGUGAUAUGAACCGUUAUAACCGGCGAUUUCCGAAUGGGGAAACCCAGUGUGUUUCGACACACUAUCAUUAACUGAAUCCAUAGGUUAAUGAGGCGAACCGGGGGAACUGAAACAUCUAAGUACCCCGAGGAAAAGAAAUCAACCGAGAUUCCCCCAGUAGCGGCGAGCGAACGGGGAGGAGCCCAGAGCCUGAAUCAGUAUGUGUGUUAGUGGAAGCGUCUGGAAAGGCGCGCGAUACAGGGUGACAGCCCCGUACACAAAAAUGCACAUAUUGUGAGCUCGAUGAGUAGGGCGGGACACGUGGUAUCCUGUCUGAAUAUGGGGGGACCAUCCUCCAAGGCUAAAUACUCCUGACUGACCGAUAGUGAACCAGUACCGUGAGGGAAAGGCGAAAAGAACCCCGGCGAGGGGAGUGAAAAAGAACCUGAAACCGUGUACGUACAAGCAGUGGGAGCACGCUUAGGCGUGUGACUGCGUACCUUUUGUAUAAUGGGUCAGCGACUUAUAUUCUGUAGCAAGGUUAACCGAAUAGGGGAGCCGAAGGGAAACCGAGUCUUAACUGGGCGUUAAGUUGCAGGGUAUAGACCCGAAACCCGGUGAUCUAGCCAUGGGCAGGUUGAAGGUUGGGUAACACUAACUGGAGGACCGAACCGACUAAUGUUGAAAAAUUAGCGGAUGACUUGUGGCUGGGGGUGAAAGGCCAAUCAAACCGGGAGAUAGCUGGUUCUCCCCGAAAGCUAUUUAGGUAGCGCCUCGUGAACUCAUCUCCGGGGGUAGAGCACUGUUUCGGCAAGGGGGUCAUCCCGACUUACCAACCCGAUGCAAACUGCGAAUACCGGAGAAUGUUAUCACGGGAGACACACGGCGGGUGCUAACGUCCGUCGUGAAGAGGGAAACAACCCAGACCGCCAGCUAAGGUCCCAAAGUCAUGGUUAAGUGGGAAACGAUGUGGGAAGGCCCAGACAGCCAGGAUGUUGGCUUAGAAGCAGCCAUCAUUUAAAGAAAGCGUAAUAGCUCACUGGUCGAGUCGGCCUGCGCGGAAGAUGUAACGGGGCUAAACCAUGCACCGAAGCUGCGGCAGCGACGCUUAUGCGUUGUUGGGUAGGGGAGCGUUCUGUAAGCCUGCGAAGGUGUGCUGUGAGGCAUGCUGGAGGUAUCAGAAGUGCGAAUGCUGACAUAAGUAACGAUAAAGCGGGUGAAAAGCCCGCUCGCCGGAAGACCAAGGGUUCCUGUCCAACGUUAAUCGGGGCAGGGUGAGUCGACCCCUAAGGCGAGGCCGAAAGGCGUAGUCGAUGGGAAACAGGUUAAUAUUCCUGUACUUGGUGUUACUGCGAAGGGGGGACGGAGAAGGCUAUGUUGGCCGGGCGACGGUUGUCCCGGUUUAAGCGUGUAGGCUGGUUUUCCAGGCAAAUCCGGAAAAUCAAGGCUGAGGCGUGAUGACGAGGCACUACGGUGCUGAAGCAACAAAUGCCCUGCUUCCAGGAAAAGCCUCUAAGCAUCAGGUAACAUCAAAUCGUACCCCAAACCGACACAGGUGGUCAGGUAGAGAAUACCAAGGCGCUUGAGAGAACUCGGGUGAAGGAACUAGGCAAAAUGGUGCCGUAACUUCGGGAGAAGGCACGCUGAUAUGUAGGUGAAGCGACUUGCUCGUGGAGCUGAAAUCAGUCGAAGAUACCAGCUGGCUGCAACUGUUUAUUAAAAACACAGCACUGUGCAAACACGAAAGUGGACGUAUACGGUGUGACGCCUGCCCGGUGCCGGAAGGUUAAUUGAUGGGGUUAGCGCAAGCGAAGCUCUUGAUCGAAGCCCCGGUAAACGGCGGCCGUAACUAUAACGGUCCUAAGGUAGCGAAAUUCCUUGUCGGGUAAGUUCCGACCUGCACGAAUGGCGUAAUGAUGGCCAGGCUGUCUCCACCCGAGACUCAGUGAAAUUGAACUCGCUGUGAAGAUGCAGUGUACCCGCGGCAAGACGGAAAGACCCCGUGAACCUUUACUAUAGCUUGACACUGAACAUUGAGCCUUGAUGUGUAGGAUAGGUGGGAGGCUUUGAAGUGUGGACGCCAGUCUGCAUGGAGCCGACCUUGAAAUACCACCCUUUAAUGUUUGAUGUUCUAACGUUGACCCGUAAUCCGGGUUGCGGACAGUGUCUGGUGGGUAGUUUGACUGGGGCGGUCUCCUCCUAAAGAGUAACGGAGGAGCACGAAGGUUGGCUAAUCCUGGUCGGACAUCAGGAGGUUAGUGCAAUGGCAUAAGCCAGCUUGACUGCGAGCGUGACGGCGCGAGCAGGUGCGAAAGCAGGUCAUAGUGAUCCGGUGGUUCUGAAUGGAAGGGCCAUCGCUCAACGGAUAAAAGGUACUCCGGGGAUAACAGGCUGAUACCGCCCAAGAGUUCAUAUCGACGGCGGUGUUUGGCACCUCGAUGUCGGCUCAUCACAUCCUGGGGCUGAAGUAGGUCCCAAGGGUAUGGCUGUUCGCCAUUUAAAGUGGUACGCGAGCUGGGUUUAGAACGUCGUGAGACAGUUCGGUCCCUAUCUGCCGUGGGCGCUGGAGAACUGAGGGGGGCUGCUCCUAGUACGAGAGGACCGGAGUGGACGCAUCACUGGUGUUCGGGUUGUCAUGCCAAUGGCACUGCCCGGUAGCUAAAUGCGGAAGAGAUAAGUGCUGAAAGCAUCUAAGCACGAAACUUGCCCCGAGAUGAGUUCUCCCUGACCCUUUAAGGGUCCUGAAGGAACGUCGAAGACGACGACGUUGAUAGGCCGGGUGUGUAAGCGCAGCGAUGCGUUGAGCUAACCGGUACUAAUGAACCGUGAGGCUUAACCUU